AAUCCAUAGGUUAAUGAGGCGAACCGGGGGAACUGAAACAUCUAAGUACCCCGAGGAAAAGAAAUCAACCGAGAUUCCCCCAGUAGCGGCGAGCGAACGGGGAGGAGCCCAGAGCCUGAAUCAGCAUGUGUGUUAGUGGAAGCGUCUGGAAAGGCGCGCGAUACAGGGUGACAGCCCCGUACACAAAAGCGCAUGUGCUGUGAGCUCGAUGAGUAGGGCGGGACACGUGGUAUCCUGUCUGAAUAUGGGGGGACCAUCCUCCAAGGCUAAAUACUCCUGACUGACCGAUAGUGAACCAGUACCGUGAGGGAAAGGCGAAAAGAACCCCGGCGAGGGGAGUGAAAAAGAACCUGAAACCGUGUACGUACAAGCAGUGGGAGCACAGGUUUACCUGUGUGACUGCGUACCUUUUGUAUAAUGGGUCAGCGACUUAUAUUCUGUAGCAAGGUUAACCGUAUAGGGGAGCCGUAGGGAAACCGAGUCUUAACCGGGCGUUAAGUUGCAGGGUAUAGACCCGAAACCCGGUGAUCUAGCCAUGGGCAGGUUGAAGGUUGGGUAACACUAACUGGAGGACCGAACCGACUAAUGUUGAAAAAUUAGCGGAUGACCUGUGGCUGGGGGUGAAAGGCCAAUCAAACCGGGAGAUAGCUGGUUCUCCCCGAAAGCUAUUUAGGUAGCGCCUCGUGAAUUCAUCUCCGGGGGUAGAGCACUGUUUCGGCUAGGGGGCCAUCCCGGCUUACCAACCCGAUGCAAACUGCGAAUACCGGAGAAUGUUAUCACGGGAGACACACGGCGGGUGCUAACGUCCGUCGUGAAGAGGGAAACAACCCAGACCGCCAGCUAAGGUCCCAAAGUCAUGGUUAAGUGGGAAACGAUGUGGGAAGGCCCAGACAGCCAGGAUGUUGGCUUAGAAGCAGCCAUCAUUUAAAGAAAGCGUAAUAGCUCACUGGUCGAGUCGGCCUGCGCGGAAGAUGUAACGGGGCUAAACCAUGCACCGAAGCUGCGGCAGCGACGCUGAUGCGUUGUUGGGUAGGGGAGCGUUCUGUAAGCCUGUGAAGGUGGCCUGUGAGGGUUGCUGGAGGUAUCAGAAGUGCGAAUGCUGACAUAAGUAACGAUAAAGCGGGUGAAAAGCCCGCUCGCCGGAAGACCAAGGGUUCCUGUCCAACGUUAAUCGGGGCAGGGUGAGUCGACCCCUAAGGCGAGGCCGAAAGGCGUAGUCGAUGGGAAACGGGUUAAUAUUCCCGUACUUGGUGUUACUGCGAAGGGGGGACGGAGAAGGCUAUGUUGGCCGGGCGACGGUUGUCCCGGUUUAAGCGUGUAGGUGUGUGUUCCAGGUAAAUCCGGUUCACUUUAACACUGAGGCGUGAUGACGAGGCACUACGGUGCUGAAGCAACAAAUGCCCUGCUUCCAGGAAAAGCCUCUAAGCAUCAGGUAACAUCAAAUCGUACCCCAAACCGACACAGGUGGUCAGGUAGAGAAUACCAAGGCGCUUGAGAGAACUCGGGUGAAGGAACUAGGCAAAAUGGUGCCGUAACU
Molecule: ribosomal RNA, 1537 nt
Filed under: Salmonella enterica
Lineage: Bacteria; Pseudomonadati; Pseudomonadota; Gammaproteobacteria; Enterobacterales; Enterobacteriaceae
Also listed under: 1 other name
Description: partial 23S ribosomal RNA
Rfam family: Bacterial large subunit ribosomal RNA
Source: RNAcentral